This 74-nucleotide transfer RNA is filed under the name Microcaldota archaeon. Its description in RNAcentral is "tRNA-Phe". It matches the Rfam family "tRNA". Rfam says of the family: Transfer RNA (tRNA) molecules are approximately 80 nucleotides in length. Their secondary structure includes four short double-helical elements and three loops (D, anti-codon, and T loops). Lineage: Archaea; Nanobdellati; Microcaldota. The record is from RNAcentral.
GCCGCAGUAACUCAGUCUGGGAGAGUGUCCGGCUGAAGACCGGAAUGUCGUCGGUUCAAAUCCGACCUGCGGCA